GAUUACGACUGCGGGGAGGCGGGCGGUCCGAAAUUUCUUUCAUUUUCUUCCAACAUGAUUCAGUUAUGCGCAAAUUCUCAAUGAAUCUGGUCUGCUUGUGAUGACUGAUGUCUGAUGAAGUUAUGGUUAGUGAAAGCCUGUGCGAAUUUGACGAGGGAUUGCAGAUAGAUUUUCAACAAGUGCUAUUCGGAGAUAGUCAAAACAAGGCUGUACGGCUUCAGUUCAGAGGAGAGAAGAUAUUGAGAGCUGCAAUGGAAGAUUAUAAGUCCAAGCCUCCAAGGGGAUGCGUAAUGCCAAAUAGAACAUUCAUCAAGGGUAUCCAACAGAGACUUUGAUACGCUUUCUUAAAAGCCACGGAUUGGAAUAUUCAGAUAGCUCAAAAAAAUGCAGCUUUUUCCUAAUGGAAUGAGGGAAUCAGAACAAAGACAUGUAACACUCUCAGAAUUAGUGCACAAGAGGAAGGUGCUUUGAUAGAGCUCUCUAAUUGUGACAACAACACCUGCUUUAUUAGACGUGCUUAUGGCUGCUGACAAGUUUGAGGUUGCCUCCUGCAUGAGGUAUUGUAGUAGCAUGACCCCUGAUUCCGCUCUGCUCUAUCUCGAGCUCCCCUCUAGUGUUUUAAUGGCUGAAGCAUCCAACCUCUAACCGAUGCAGCAAAGCAGUUCCUUGCCUACAACAGCCUACAGGUAACCGCUGUCUAGCUUGUUUUAAAAUUUAAACCAAACCCUGCGACACACCUAGAAGCUUUGAAAGAUAAUUAAAAAAUAUAUUUAGUAAUUAGUAAAUACUAACUAGAUAUUAGAAGAUUUAGUCGUUUAGAGUUUGUUUAAAAGCUGCAAACCCUAAAUAGUUUAGCAUAAUUCAUUGGCUAAUUGCUUUGCUUGACAACACACACGACUUCAUCUCUCUACACACGACUUCAUCGAGACACACCAAAACCUCAAAGUCCUCAAAAUCUUUACACGACUCCAGUCCUCAAAGUUUAUCGUGAUGGAUUCAAAUGAUUCUUAUGAUCUGAGAUCAAUAGACUUAGAGUCUCAAAGAGUAAUUGAUGAUGCAAAUGCUCAAGAAGAACAUAAUAUGUUUGAUAGAGCAGAGCCAUCUACAAGUCGUAAGAGAGCAGCGAUUCAUAUUGAUGUAGAUGAUGUUGAAAAGGACUAAGGAAAGACAUCAUCAUCAGAACCGAAGAAGAGAAAGCAGAAUAAGUACAUAAGCCGUCUUCUCCCAAAAAAUGUUCAAGCACUAAUAUGCUGCGGCAAUUGGUUAAAAGGUUUUGAAGAUAUGAAAAUGAGGAGGAUGAAGAAUUUGAUGAAGAUGAGAUAUUACCUUCUUUCCAGUCAAUUGUUGAUGAUGAAGCUUGAUUUGGUUGAAGAGACAUCUUGACCUUGAGAUUUAUGUUUUCAGCUUUCCAUUUCAGUUUAAUAUUUUGAUUUAAUGUUUCAGUUUAAUACUUUGGUUUAAUACUUUCAGUUUACUAUUUAUUUGAUUUACAUUUCAGUUUAAACA
Molecule: long non-coding RNA, 1506 nt
Organism: Camelina sativa (false flax)
Lineage: Eukaryota; Viridiplantae; Streptophyta; Magnoliopsida; Brassicales; Brassicaceae
Source: RefSeq, a predicted model, not a curated record